UACGUAGGCAGCGAGCGUUGUUCGGAAUUACUGGGCGUAAAGAGUGUGUAGGCGGUGCUCUAAGUUCGGUGUGAAAUCUCCUGCUCAACUGGGAGGGUGCGCCGGAAACUGGAGUGCUUGAGCGUGGGAGAGGAAAGCGGAAUUCCUGGUGUAGCGGUGAAAUGCGUAGAUAUCAGGAGGAACACCUGUGGUGUAGACGGCUUUCUGGACCAUAGCUGACGCUGAGACACGAAAGCGUGGGUAGCAAACAGG
RNAcentral lists this ribosomal RNA (252 nucleotides) under uncultured bacterium. RNAcentral describes it as "partial 16S ribosomal RNA". It matches the Rfam family "Bacterial small subunit ribosomal RNA", at positions 524 to 776 of the family's 1533-position model. The record is from RNAcentral.